Molecule: ribosomal RNA, 261 nt
Filed under: uncultured archaeon
Lineage: Archaea
Description: partial 16S ribosomal RNA
Rfam family: Archaeal small subunit ribosomal RNA
Source: RNAcentral
CAGCCGUAAACUAUGCGCGUUAGGUGUAUCGGUGACCACGAGUUACCGAGGUGCCGAAGGGAAACCGUGAAACGUGCCGCCUGGGAAGUACGGUCGCAAGGCUGAAACUUAAAGGAAUUGGCGGGGGAGCACCACAACAGGUGGAGCCUGCGGUUUAAUUGGACUCAACGCCGGGAAGCUCACCGGAUAAGACAGCAGAAUGAUUGCCGGGCUGAAGACUCUGCAUGACUAGCUGAGAGGAGGUGCAUGGCGUAGUCGUGU